This 449-nucleotide ribosomal RNA is filed under the name uncultured bacterium. RNAcentral's name for it is "partial 16S ribosomal RNA". It matches the Rfam family "Bacterial small subunit ribosomal RNA", at positions 29 to 523 of the family's 1533-position model. The record is from RNAcentral.
AACGAACGCUGGCGGCAUGCCUAACACAUGCAAGUCGAACGAAGGCUUCGGCCUUAGUGGCGCACGGGUGCGUAACGCGUGGGAAUCUGCCCCUAGGUACGGAAUAACAGCGAGAAAUUGCUGCUAAUACCGUAUGAUGACGAAAGUCCAAAGAUUUAUCGCCUAGGGAUGAGCCCGCGUAGGAUUAGCUUGUUGGUGAGGUAAAAGCUCACCAAGGCGACGAUCCUUAGCUGGUCUGAGAGGAUGAUCAGCCACACUGGGACUGAGACACGGCCCAGACUCCUACGGGAGGCAGCAGUGGGGAAUAUUGGACAAUGGGCGAAAGCCUGAUCCAGCAAUGCCGCGUGAGUGAUGAAGGCCUUAGGGUUGUAAAGCUCUUUUACCCGGGAAGAUAAUGACUGUACCGGGAGAAUAAGCCCCGGCUAACUCCGUGCCAGCCGCCGCUGUAA